UCCCUGGCAGUCCAGUGGCUAGGAUUCAGUGCUUUCACUUCCGUGGCCUGGGUUCAAUCCCUGGUCAGGGAA
This 72-nucleotide transfer RNA is filed under the name Ovis aries (sheep). It matches the Rfam family "tRNA". From Rfam's summary of the family: Transfer RNA (tRNA) molecules are approximately 80 nucleotides in length. Their secondary structure includes four short double-helical elements and three loops (D, anti-codon, and T loops). The record is from Rfam by way of RNAcentral. Lineage: Eukaryota; Metazoa; Chordata; Mammalia; Artiodactyla; Bovidae.